UCCUCAUCAACACUCCCUCCCUGUGGUUGUGUCUUUAGCUAGUCUAAAUAAUAAAUUAGGCUUUUUUCUCCUAAUCUCUGAGGAAAACUACGUAAUUUUUAACAGUUUUUCUGGUGUGUGAUUCUUCACGUACGAAUGUGGUAAAUGAGAAUGAUUUGAAAUGAUACACUUUUGGUGGAGACCUGGCGCUGCAGAUAUAUUUUUCCCUCUGUUGUUGUUGCUAAAGGAAAAAAAAUUAAAUAUAAAUGACAGAGGGCGAUUCACAGUGGCCAAAGCAUUUCCAGCCUCUGUUGGAGACAUGAAACUUCAAACGUUUUCUGGUGGAGAGAUGAAAUUGAAAACUUUUUCUGCCGUCUGAUGGGGUUACGCAGUUACAAACGUUUCCUGCUCUUUGAGGUAGACCUAGAGUUAUAAAUGGUUUUUGCCUCCAUCUAAAUUAUUUUUUGCCCUCUGAUGGAGAAUGAUGUUGCAAACUGAUGAAGAUAUCGGAUUGCAAAUGUUUUCUGCCUUUUGAUGGAGACUUGAUGGAGUCUGAAAAAUAUUUUGCCCUCUGAUAGAGACCAGCUGGACCUUCAAACGUUUUCCGAGUUCUGAUGAAGACCUGCUGGACCUACAAACAUUUUCUGAGUUCUUAAAGACCUGCUCAAACUGCAAA
Macrobrachium nipponense is the source of this 655-nucleotide long non-coding RNA. RefSeq lists it as uncharacterized. The record is from RefSeq and is a predicted model, not a curated record. The transcript has 3 exons. Lineage: Eukaryota; Metazoa; Arthropoda; Malacostraca; Decapoda; Palaemonidae.